This 253-nucleotide ribosomal RNA is filed under the name uncultured bacterium. RNAcentral describes it as "partial 16S ribosomal RNA". It matches the Rfam family "Bacterial small subunit ribosomal RNA", at positions 524 to 776 of the family's 1533-position model. The record is from RNAcentral.
UACAGAGGGUGCGAGCGUUAAUCGGAAUUACUGGGCGUAAAGCGUGCGUAGACGGUUAUUUAAGUCGGGUGUGAAAGCCCCGGGCUCAACCUGGGAAUUGCAUUCGAGACUGAAUAGCUAGGGUACGGUAGAGGGAAGUGGAAUUUCCGGUGUAGCGGUGAAAUGCGUAGAUAUCGGAAGGAACAUCAGUGGCGAAAGCGACUUCCUGGACCAGUACCGACGUUAAGGCACGAAAGCGUGGGGAGCGAACAGG